Long non-coding RNA from Sapajus apella (tufted capuchin), 1896 nucleotides. RefSeq lists it as uncharacterized. Lineage: Eukaryota; Metazoa; Chordata; Mammalia; Primates; Cebidae. The transcript has 3 exons. The record is from RefSeq and is a predicted model, not a curated record.
UGGAAGAACUGGUGGGUCCAUUGGUUGACCACCGGUUGGUACCCUCUCAUACAGAAAGUUCAUCCUCUUGCCCUUUCCCACUGUGUCGAUAUGGGAAUGAGUUUUUCCCCUCCUUUAUGCCUCUAGUGAUUAACCUGCACAUUUUUGAGUAGGCUGUGCCAGGAAGCACCUUUGCAAUUCCUGAUCUUUCAUAAACUUUGCAAAAGUCCCAGGUUUUUGUUUUCUUCCCAAGAUUCAUUUCCUACCAGUUACAUCUACUAUUUCCGAUCCUCUCUGGCAAAAUUGCAAGGAGUAGCAUCAGCACAUCUUUGUACAGUAGGCGAAUAUAUUUGGAAUGCUUAUUUCUGAGAGCUGUUGAAGACGACUAACAAUUUUACACCACACAAAAGGACUGACAAUAAAUUCAGGAGUGGCAAAUGGAACCUCUGUUCUGUUUCCCUCUCAGUAAAUAAAUAACUGCAAAACCUGUGCUCCAAUACCAAAGCGUCAAAUCCAUGGCGCUCCGUUGAUUAACAUUGAAAAUGUCUUUCUGAAGACAAUACAUUUAGAAGAGUCCUAAGGCUUGCACCAGAAGCUGACACUGAAGGUUUAUUUUAAUGUAGCACAGAUCAAAGUGAAUGAUGUGAAAAGAGUUCUGUUUCUCCUGGAAGGAUGCCACUUGUUCCUACUCCUGGGGAAAUGUCUUCCAAGCUCUUUACCAAAUCUGCAAGCUAAAGCAACUCAACUGUGGCUACCCUGCCCACCUGAAGACCUCAGGAUCCACCAGGAGCCCAAGACACCUCAAAAAGCUGGUGCAAGGGCCCAAGGAACCACGGUGCACAGCUGCUAUCCUCUAUAAAAUUUCAGAACCAGAGCUUUUCAGAUCCAAGACACACGGACCUGCACUCAGAUGCUGACUCUGCCACCCUACCACUGACUCAGUCUAUGAAGGUGGACAAGUCCCACAGCACAGACAAACGUCAGCUUCCUCCUCUGCAAAACAGGGUUAACAAUAGCAAUCACCCUAUGUAUGUGUUGUAAGGAUUGAGUGAGAUAAUAUCUGGAGACACUUAGCCCAAGGCAAGGCCCAAGGUUGUUCCUCUUGUUAUUUAUUAUUUCAGUAUUUCUUUUUUCCUAGCUUCAUGACCAAUUGCCAUUCAGCCCUCUCCUUUGGGUCCCCACAAGCCCCAUCAGUAACUCCUAUCUCAGGCUCCAAGCUGUACUGGGUUGACUACCAUUGCCCCAAAAUUCAUGUCCACCUGGAAACUCAGAGUAUGACCUUAUUUGAAAAGAGGAUCUUUGCAGGUAUAAUAUGUUUAGGAUGUCAAAGUGAGAGCUUACUGGAAUAGAGUAGGCUCUACAUCCAUUCAAAGUGUUCUUACAAGGAAAGGAGAGGCACAGAGGGACACAGGAAGCAGGAAGGCCAUGCCUGGACAGAGGCAGGGAUUGGAGUGACACUGCCCGGAGCUGAAGGAGGCCAGGAGAACCAGAAGCUAGAGGAGGCUGGGACGGAUUCUUCCCUGGAGGCUUUAGCAGGAGCACAGGCUGCUGACACCUCAAAUCCAUCUCUUGUUUUAAGGCACCAAGUUUCUCAUCAUUUGUUACAGUAGCCUGGAAAACUCACACACAAGUGAAGCCCCGACUCACCCUGCAGUGCCCAUCCGAACACCCCUCAUGUACUCUGAGCAGGGCAAUAACAACAAAAAAACAAAAACCAAUCCUGAACUAGAAAUGCAAGAGAAAAAUGAAGCAAUCAAAAAUUGCACAGCUGUUUCUGCCUUCCCCUGAAGGUAUGCCCAGUAUGUUGUAGGUAGCUUGGUGGCAUUUCAUGGUGAUGUUUUACAAGUUGGUUUUGGCAAUAAUCAUAUCCUUUCUUUUUUUUUUUUUUUUUUUUUUUUGAGAUGGAGUCUCAUUCUG